UAAUUGAAGAGUUUGAUCAUGGCUCAGAUUGAACGCUGGCGGCAGGCUUAACACAUGCAAGUCGGGCGGAAACGAAAGAAAGCUUGCUUUCUUGGCGUCGAGCGGCGGACGGGUGAGUAAUGCCUGGGAAAUUGCCCUGAUGUGGGGGAUAACCAUUGGAAACGAUGGCUAAUACCGCAUAACGUCUACGGACCAAAGAGGGGGACCUUCGGGCCUC
Molecule: ribosomal RNA, 217 nt
Organism: Vibrio aerogenes CECT 7868
Lineage: Bacteria; Pseudomonadati; Pseudomonadota; Gammaproteobacteria; Vibrionales; Vibrionaceae
Rfam family: Bacterial small subunit ribosomal RNA
Source: Rfam